CACCAGCGCCACGAGUGGUCAUCGCGAUUAUUGGGCCUAAAGCGUUCGUAGCCGGCUCGGUAAAUCCCUUGUGAAAUUGUUCGGCUUAACCGAACGGCAUGCAGGGGACACUGCCAAGCUCGAGACCGGGAGGGGUCAGAGGUAUUCCGUGGGGACCGGUAAAAUGGGAUAAUCCACGGAGGACCACCGAUGGCGAAGGCAUCUGACCAGAACGGCUCUGACGGUGAGGAACGAAAGCCAGGGGAGCGAACCG
This 253-nucleotide ribosomal RNA is filed under the name uncultured archaeon. Its description in RNAcentral is "partial 16S ribosomal RNA". It matches the Rfam family "Archaeal small subunit ribosomal RNA", at positions 474 to 726 of the family's 1478-position model. The record is from RNAcentral.